This 2458-nucleotide long non-coding RNA is filed under the name Panax ginseng (ginseng). RNAcentral describes it as "long non-coding RNA (PGIN_LNC008074)". The record is from RNAcentral. Lineage: Eukaryota; Viridiplantae; Streptophyta; Magnoliopsida; Apiales; Araliaceae.
CCCCAGGUACGAGAACCUUUAAAUAAUUCAUUACAUGAUAGAUAAAGUAAUAUCUCAUACAAAAGUUUAUUUAUUACAAAACAUCUACUUAUUACAGAUAGCCGUCUUCAACUAUUCAUUCACCUUCUUCUUUCCCUUAUCUUUGUCAGAUCCUUCUGCGCGUUCACGCUUCACUGAAAACAUUUAAUUUUCAAAGUAAGAAUGAACAUUCAAUUGCUCAGCAAAUAAUAGCAUGCAAUAAUCAAUAUAUGAAAGAGUUAAAAGUUAUCUUUGAGGAUUUUUCUACAACGGAUCAAUAAUUGUAAAGUCAUUGAAUCAAUUUUCGAAUAACAAACCAAAUAGCUUGCAUUUUUGAAACGACAUAAUGACUAUAGAUGUCGAGCAGUCAUUAGACCUUGAACUUUGUUUUUCAUGUUCAUAAUAGGUAUAAUAGUAAUUCAACUGUAUAACCGACUAACUCUCGGGCACGAUGGGUGAUCAGCCAUUUAUGCCCUGCGUUGAUCAACAUUACAUGCUAGUUUUCAUUCGACAUAGUAAAAGUUUCCCAAUAAGGGAUGUUCAUAAUCAGAUCUGAGAUCCAAACCAAAACAAUUUGGUUGGACAUCUCUACUCAAUUGAAUCAAUAAGAUAAAGACUUGUGAUGAACUAUUGUAAUGUGAAUCAAGCUGAAACAAUUAGCUUAGAUUCAUCUUUGAACAAUUCAAAAAUUUUAGAACUUGAAGUAAUAAAGAAAUUUGCAUAUCAAUGUCAAAUUGUACAAGUUAAAGAAUUUGCUCAAGCAUACAAAUAUAAUUUACUUGCUCAAAUUCAAAUAAGUCAGGAAAACUUGCUUCAUACCAAACUCAAACAAUCUAUAGAAAGGAUACUUGCAAAAAUAGAAGGAAAUUUGAUUAAGUAUCAUCAACUCAAGAUAUUUUCCAAGAUAAAAACAAGUUUGAGAUUCUCGUGAAAUAAUAAACCUCUUAUAUAAAAAAAAGGCAUAAAUUAGGGAUACUUGCUCGUACAAACUUUAAAAAGUUAUGGAUAAGAAACUUGUCUUGAGCGUAGUUUACGAUUACCGCUUAAUUCUAUUUCAAAAUAUCCUAUAUAUUCACGUAUAAUCGUACAUUAGUUAUUAUAUAGUUCAAGUAUAUAUAUCAAAUUCACAUUUUUUGUUAGUACAUAAUGCACAUAUUCAGUCAUAUGCAAUAAUCAUACAUUGCUUAUGCACUUGCUACACAUAAACCACAUGUUUGCAUGCAUACUUAUUUUCCAUUUUGAAAACUAUUCUCCUUUAUUAGAAAUCUUUUAGUAAUAGUUGUAUAUGUGAUCAGUUUUAAAUAUACUUAUUGACAUACAACAAGACUCAAGAGAUUCAUCCAAACAUGCAUCAUACUUCAGAUAUAAACUGUCUUGGUGGUUUUGCAGAGCAGCGCAGCUGCGCUGCUCUUCGGUUUGGGAGUGGCGCAGCUGCGCUACUCCCUGUCCAGUCUAAACUUGAGCUAUUCAAUGCAUAGAUCUAGUAUUUAAAGCAUGCUAAAACUUUAUAACGCGCGCUCACAUGUACACAUGAUUUAAGAGUGUAUAUCAGUUUUGGGUUCCUAUUUUAAGCUUGCUUUAAAUUUACUUUUUAAAAAUCAUUUUCCUUUCUUUUUGAAAUCACAUCAGGCUCAAGUAUAUAUACUCGUGCUUCAUUAGCUCAUCUACUUAAAAUUCAAGAUAACUUUUGUUUGAAAACUUAUCCUAAUCAUGCUUACGCAACUAGUUUCAUGCAAAACAAUCUUGGACACUAUAUCAGACUUGAUUUUAUGCUUAUACAACUUCAUUAUACCUGCCCAGAACUUUAGAACACAAGGAAAACUAUUUUUGAAUUCUGGAGACCAGCGUAGCUGCUCUGGUAUUGGCUUGGGAAGUGGCGCAGCUGCGUCAGUUUGAGUUCAGACCCGGACAGAGCUCUGUUCCCAUUUAAAUAUAAUUAAAAUUAUAGUCCAUGGACUAUCAAAUUCUUAGAUUUAGUCUUGUUGGUUUUUCAAAUAUAGUCACAGACUAUAUUUAGUCUACCUGCCGGAGCUGGUCUUAUUGUGCUGCUGGAGUUUAUCAAUAUGCUUCUGGGUUGCUAUCUUAUUGCUCCAGAUAAACAGAAACAUAAACUUUUACCAUAUUGCUAUAAUCAAAUACCAUACACAUCAAUUUCAAACUAAUUUCCAUAAAAACCAAAUUACAAUGAUAUAUAUCCACUUAUAUUCAUAUAUAUCAUAAUUCUAACUAACAGACAUAAACACAUAGAUAGAUUACCUCUUAUCCACUUAAAUUCUAGGCAAUUGUUGCUUCAAUUACAUCAAUUUCCUUCCUCAAUUUCAAUCACUUUCUAAUUUCAACUUGCUUACAUGCUUGAGUUGAUGUAUGAAAUGAAACACAUGAGAAGAGGAACUGAAUAUGGGAAGCUUGGCUUUUAUAGAAAAAUUUUCUUGUUCCUUAC